RNAcentral lists this long non-coding RNA (212 nucleotides) under Theobroma cacao (cacao). Its description in RNAcentral is "long non-coding RNA (TCAC_LNC006379)". The record is from RNAcentral. Lineage: Eukaryota; Viridiplantae; Streptophyta; Magnoliopsida; Malvales; Malvaceae.
AAACCAUCUGUACGACCUCCUUAUGUGGCUCCCUACCAGUCACUGUCAUCUGUUCCCUAAUCUCAUUACGGAGCCCUUCUUCGAAAUAACUGGCCUAAUCCUGCUCCGAUUUCACCAGGUUUGACACAUAUAACAUUAGCUCGUUAAAACAAGCUUUGUACUCCUCUACAGUUAGAUUUCCUUGUUUCAAGCUUAGAAAUUCUCUUUUUUUU